UGCCACAGCCAUGUCACCCUGCAGCCCAAGACCGGUUACUCACUGAAGCUAAGCAGGGCUGAGCCUGGUCAGUACCUGGAUGGGAGACCACUAGGGAACACUAGGUUGCUGUUAGUGA
Molecule: non-coding RNA, 118 nt
Organism: Danio rerio (zebrafish)
Lineage: Eukaryota; Metazoa; Chordata; Actinopteri; Cypriniformes; Danionidae
Source: Rfam